AGCAGCCGCGGUAAUUCCAGCUCCAAUAGCGUAUAUUAAAGUUGUUGCAGUUAAAAAGCUCGUAGUUGAAUUUCGGGAUCAAUAUGUUGGUCGUGCCUUUGGUACGUACUAGCUUAUUGAUUUCUCCCUUCUGACGAACCAUGAUGUCAUUAAUUUGGUGUCAUGGGGAAUCAGGACUGUUACUUUGAAAAAAUUAGAGUGUUUAAAGCAGGCUUACGCUUGAAUAUAUUAGCGUGGAAUAAUGAAAUAGGACGUUUUGAUUCUAUUUUGUUGGUUUCUAGGAUCGACGUAAUGAUUAAUAGGGAUAGUUGGGGGCAUUAGUAUUCAAUUGUCAGAGGUGAAAUUCUUGGAUUUAUUGAAGACUAACCACUGCGAAAGCAUUUGCCAGGGAUGUUUUCAUUAAUCAAGAACGAAAGUUAGGGGAUCGAAGACGAUCAGAUACCGUCGUAGUCUUAACCAUAAACUAUGCCGACUAGGGAUCGGAUGAUGUUAAUUUUUAAUGUACUCAUU
RNAcentral lists this ribosomal RNA (510 nucleotides) under uncultured Glomus. RNAcentral's name for it is "SSU rRNA". It matches the Rfam family "Eukaryotic small subunit ribosomal RNA", at positions 569 to 1080 of the family's 1831-position model. Lineage: Eukaryota; Fungi; Glomeromycota; Glomeromycetes; Glomerales; Glomeraceae. The record is from RNAcentral.